UCACUGCUACGGGGUGUGGGGUCACCAAUAUGGAAUAUAGGGAUGCGGCUAUGGGGCGUGGGGACCCUCUGAGCCUAUGGGGACCCCAAUAUGGGGUGUGGGGACAGCGCUAUGGGGUCACUGUCAUAGGACACGGGGACAGGGCUAUGGGGUGUGGGGUCACCAAUAUGGGACGCGGGGACACUGCUAUGGGGCGUGGGGACAGCAAUGGGGUGUGGGGACCCUCAGAGCCCAUGGGGUGUGGGGUCACUAAUUUGGGAUGUGAGAUCACUGCUAUGGGAUGUGGGGACGGCGCUAUGGGGUCACUGCUAUGGGACAUGGGGACAGGGCUAUGGGGUGCGGGGACAUCAAUGGGGUGUGGGAACAUCAAUGGGGUGUGGGGUCACUGCUAUGGGACAUGGGGACAGCACUAUGGGGCCUGGGGACAUCAAUGGGGUGUGGGGACUCUCUGAGGCCAUGGGGACCCCAAUAUGGGGUGUGGGGGCACCAAUAUGGGGUGUGGGGGCACCAAUAUGGGGUGUGAGAUCAUUGCUACGGGAUGUGGGGACAUCAAUGGGGCGUGGGGACGGCGCUAUGGGGUCACUGCUAUGGGACGUGGGGACAGGGCUAUGGGGUCACCAAUAUGGGAUGUGGGAUCACUGCUAUGGGGUGUGGGGACAUCAGUGGGGUUUCGGGAUGGCGCUAUGGGGUGUAGGGUCAGCAAUAUGGGGUCACUGCUAUGGGACAUGGGGACGCUGCUAUGGGGCGUGGGGACACCAAUGGGGUGCCGGGACAGCGCUAUGGGGUCACUGUUAUGGGACGUGGGGACAGGGCUAUGGGGUGUGGGA
Molecule: long non-coding RNA, 827 nt
Filed under: Phasianus colchicus (ring-necked pheasant)
Lineage: Eukaryota; Metazoa; Chordata; Aves; Galliformes; Phasianidae
Description: lncRNA (ENSPCLG00000019022.1)
Source: RNAcentral